Molecule: ribosomal RNA, 253 nt
Filed under: uncultured bacterium
Lineage: Bacteria
Description: partial 16S ribosomal RNA
Rfam family: Bacterial small subunit ribosomal RNA
Source: RNAcentral
UACGUAGGGGGCUAGCGUUGUCCGGAAUCAUUGGGUUUAAAGGGUCCGUAGGCGGUUUGGUAAGUCAGUGGUGAAAGCCCAUCGCUCAACGGUGGAACGGCCAUUGAUACUGCCAGACUUGAAUUAUUAGGAAGUAACUAGAAUAUGUAGUGUAGCGGUGAAAUGCUUAGAGAUUACAUGGAAUACCAAUUGCGAAGGCAGGUUACUACUAAUGGAUUGACGCUGAUGGACGAAAGCGUGGGUAGCGAACAGG